AGCUCAUCCUCUCCAGUGGCCUUGUGGUUAGAGCAUCCACCUCAGAUGCGGGAGGUUGUGGGUUUGAUCCCAGCCUGAGUCA
Potamilus streckersoni is the source of this 82-nucleotide non-coding RNA. The record is from the annotation of a GenBank genome assembly. NCBI's taxonomy places the organism in Eukaryota, Metazoa, Mollusca, Bivalvia, Unionida, Unionidae.